GCCUGGGUGGCUCAGUCGGUGAAGCAUCUGACUUCAACUCAGGUCAUGAUCCCAGGCU
Molecule: transfer RNA, 58 nt
Filed under: Ursus americanus (American black bear)
Lineage: Eukaryota; Metazoa; Chordata; Mammalia; Carnivora; Ursidae
Also listed under: 2 other names
Source: Rfam by way of RNAcentral